This 21-nucleotide non-coding RNA is filed under the name Arabidopsis thaliana (thale cress). Lineage: Eukaryota; Viridiplantae; Streptophyta; Magnoliopsida; Brassicales; Brassicaceae. The record is from RNAcentral.
UUCACCAUCUACCUUAAGGCA